GAUGAACGCUGGCGGCGUGCCUAAUACAUGCAAGUCGAGCGAACGGACGAGAGGCUUGCUUCUCUGAUGUUAGCGGCGGACGGGUGAGUAACACGUGGAUAACCUACCUAUAAGACUGGGAUAACUUCGGGAAACCGGAGCUAAUACCGGAUAAUAUUUUGAACCGCAUGGUUCAAAAGUGAAAGACGGUCUUGCUGUCACUUAUAGAUGGAUCCGCGCUGCAUUAGCUAGUUGGUAAGGUAACGGCUCACCAAGGCAACGAUGCAUAGCCGACCUGAGAGGGUGAUCGGCCACACUGGAACUGAGACACGGUCCAGACUCCUACGGGAGGCAGCAGUAGGGAAUCUUCCGCAAUGGGCGAAAGCCUGACGGAGCAACGCCGCGUGAGUGAUGAAGGUCUUCGGAUCGUAAAACUCUGUUAUUAGGGAAGAACAUAUGUGUAAGUAACUGUGCACAUCUUGACGGUACCUAAUCAGAAAGCCACGGCUAACUACGUGCCAGCAGCCGCGGUAAUACGUAGGUGGCAAGCGUUAUCCGGAAUUAUUGGGCGUAAAGCGCGCGUAGGCGGUUUUUUAAGUCUGAUGUGAAAGCCCACGGCUCAACCGUGGAGGGUCAUUGGAAACUGGAAAACUUGAGUGCAGAAGAGGAAAGUGGAAUUCCAUGUGUAGCGGUGAAAUGCGCAGAGAUAUGGAGGAACACCAGUGGCGAAGGCGACUUUCUGGUCUGUAACUGACGCUGAUGUGCGAAAGCGUGGGGAUCAAACAGGAUUAGAUACCCUGGUAGUCCACGCCGUAAACGAUGAGUGCUAAGUGUUAGGGGGUUUCCGCCCCUUAGUGCUGCAGCUAACGCAUUAAGCACUCCGCCUGGGGAGUACGACCGCAAGGUUGAAACUCAAAGGAAUUGACGGGGACCCGCACAAGCGGUGGAGCAUGUGGUUUAAUUCGAAGCAACGCGAAGAACCUUACCAAAUCUUGACAUCCUUUGACAACUCUAGAGAUAGAGCCUUCCCCUUCGGGGGACAAAGUGACAGGUGGUGCAUGGUUGUCGUCAGCUCGUGUCGUGAGAUGUUGGGUUAAGUCCCGCAACGAGCGCAACCCUUAAGCUUAGUUGCCAUCAUUAAGUUGGGCACUCUAAGUUGACUGCCGGUGACAAACCGGAGGAAGGUGGGGAUGACGUCAAAUCAUCAUGCCCCUUAUGAUUUGGGCUACACACGUGCUACAAUGGACAAUACAAAGGGCAGCGAAACCGCGAGGUCAAGCAAAUCCCAUAAAGUUGUUCUCAGUUCGGAUUGUAGUCUGCAACUCGACUACAUGAAGCUGGAAUCGCUAGUAAUCGUAGAUCAGCAUGCUACGGUGAAUACGUUCCCGGGUCU
This 1372-nucleotide ribosomal RNA is filed under the name uncultured bacterium. RNAcentral's name for it is "bacterial SSU rRNA". It matches the Rfam family "Bacterial small subunit ribosomal RNA", at positions 28 to 1381 of the family's 1533-position model. The record is from RNAcentral.